UGGCGAGGGCCUUCAGGGUCUUUUCAUUGAGGAUGCCCAGGACCUCAGUCAGGGCAGGGGCAUAAGGGGACUCCCACAAAGACAUGGCUCCGGUUUCAACACUCUGUGGCAGCUUAUGCAUGCUGACCUCUACCUGCAAUGUGUUCGCAACUCGGACCUUUGGGGGUGACUGUGAUGGGCGUAUAUACUCUGCCCGCUGCCCAUCCCACCACCACUACCAGACGGCGGACGGCAGACCCUGGCCACCCCUGCAGCCCUGCCCCGGCCACCGGCGAGGCGAAGGACGUGCAGGCACUGAGUAGUGGGGUAUCGAGUUGCUGUCUUCGAGGUUUUUAACACAUUUUAGCUGACACUCAUUGAUACGGUUUCAGUAAUUACACCACUUGCAACAUUAUUUCAGGUGCAUUACUAUUAUUAUGUUCACGUGUUUAGGCGUAUGGGGCCGUAUCUAAUCUAUUAGAUUUUUCAGCUGUUGAUUUUUCUGGCGUGUGGAUGUUUAAUAUUUUUCUUGAGUAACAUUGUUACGCAUUUUAUGUAUAAUCAUUCAUUUUCUUUUCUCCUUUCUUUUGUGUAUUUUAUUGCUCAGUGGAGAAGUUUAAUAUUUUUCUUGAGUAACAUUGUUAUGCAUUUUAUGUAUAAUCAUUCAUUCUAUUUUCUCCUUUCUUUUGUGUAUUUUAUUGCACAGUGGAGAAGUUUUGUCUUGCUAAGCCUCACUCAUUAUUCUUUUUCCUCUUUUAUUAUGCAUUUUAAAAGCAUCGGGGAGGAGUGAGCACAUACUUAGCGGUGAAUGAUUAUUACUUUAAUUAUUUUUGCAGCAAUAUUUUUUUAUCUUUUACCAUUUUACUCCACAUUUUACUAGUAACUCUUUUUAAUGGCAGAGAAACCUGACCCGAAGUUACAAGCUCUCACCGAGGACUAUGAGGGGUGGGUAGAAAGAAAUGACAGUGCCAUCACGGAUAACAGUAACUGUUGUGUAAGGAGUGUAGCAGUCUUCAAAGGGUGCUUGCUCCUCCUUCUACGCUGCAUGAGCAACCAAGAGGUAUUUACUUACCUUACUAAUCCCACAGUGGCUUCUGCCCCUAAUCACCCGCAGUUAGCAGUUAGGCCUUUCGCAGGGUAGCAAGGGAGGCAGAUUAGUCGGCCAGGGACUUCUUGUUUCAAAGUGAGAUUGUCAUGGACAUUUCAUUCGUGUCAAAUCCGGGAGAUAAAAUAUCUCUCAGCUGCUCGAAGGUCAAUCCCGGGAACGGGAGCACGGCCCUCAUAAACAGGAGCGCGUUCACAGGACGGAAGGAUUAUGAUGCGUUUCGGUCACUUUUUCUUGAAACAUUUGGGGAAGAUGGGCAACACAGCCUCGUAAAGGGUAUAAAUUUUGCUGUGGACACUGUGCAAACGAGUGUCCUUUUUAACAGGCCAGUGGACGCAUAUAGGCUAUCUACUGAUUUGAUCUCGUGUUUUAAACAAGGAAACUGGACAGACGGAGAAACCAUUUCUGUAGCCAAUGCUAGAUUAUUACAAUAGUUCUUUGUGUACAUGAUUGUCCUUAAAGUUCCUCUUCGAAGGAGUGCAGUAUCCCUUGACUACAGCCCCACUGACAACCUACACGGUUUUAUCAGACAACUUUUAUGGCACUUAAAGUAAUUUUGGAUCCUUUUUGAAGCUUCUUUUGCCGUUGACACGUUUGUCGGGGAGGGGGGCCUUCGACCCUCUGACCUAAACCUUUUUGGGUGUCACCAGCGAUAAUAUAAAAAAUAAAAAUAAAUCCUUGGUGUGUUCUUUUACCCGUGGUUUAGGCAGAAAUAGUCAGAUAAAUAGGUGGACGGAAAUUUGAGCUUUACGAUCUAUUUUUUUUUAAUACACAGAAUGUGCAUAGUGAUCGUCUCCAAAGACUAGCGCUGACGCUGCUUUGUGUAUCUUUCCACCACACGACUAUAAUCUGCAUCCUCGCAUUUACUAAUUUAUGUUUGGUUCCUGAGCUUUUGCCUGCAUCUUUUUUUCAUGCGAGAGGGGAGUGCUUGAGUAAUACUUUUCACUCUAACCCAACUAUUUUCUUUUAUUGCUGAGUUGAUGCAAGGCAGUCAGUCUUCUUAAUUUAAUUGGAGCCGUAAUAACCGAGGGUGUAGACUAACAUAGGGAUAGGUACUUUUUAACCUUGAACCUCAUGUGCUUCUGCUUAAAACAGACUUUUUUUCUCUGCAAUGACACUUAACUGAACUUGAGCAGAUGCUGUCCCUAACUUUUAUUGUAACCAGCAUGUGAAUACCUGUAAGCUUUGGAAGUAUGCAAACAAGUCUUACUUACCCUUUGCUUGACAUACCACUGUUACCCGUUACGGGAAUUAUUUUUGGCGUCAGAUGUCAGUCAUCCACAUUCGUUACGAUCGAAGGAUAGGUGGAAAUUUGUCUUUUUAAUUUGAUAUUUAUUAAUGCUGGAAUUACUUUAAUCAAUUAUGCUGGAAUUAUAUAUUUCAGUGAGAUUUGUUACAACAGUGAUUUCACAACUUGGUGACAGUAUUUUCUUUUAUUAGUACUGUAGACCUGAAAAACGGAGUAUUAGGAGUUAGUGGUGCUGACUGCCGAUGCUUCUAAGGUUCUCCAGACUUGUCCUUGUUAUCACACUGUAACUAUUAGGAGACUCUACAGAUAACAUUACCUCUUUUCAAACAACCUUAUCUAUUGUUGUAAACCCCACCCGUCUCGAAGGCGUGCCGAGGGUAACGACACUGGCAAUUAAUUGUCACGCAACGGAUGAGUGUUUCUCUGCGACAGUUUUGUGUCAAGGUGUGACUCGAAGGUUCAGUGUGUAGCAGAUCUUCUUCAAGGAUUGUUCCUUUUUCUUUUAACUAUUCCAAAUAGCUCCAUUGCCAUGUAUCCUAAUGACAAUUUAGUCAAUUUAUUUUUCUAGGGUGUAUGAUGUAAAUAAUUUUUUGAGCUAUUAUUUUGUUUUCUCGGAAUAGAACUCAGCUUCCACGUCCAUGACUCUAGCCCUGAUUACCUCGAUCUGUAUGCGCAUUACCCAUUUCUUGUUACUUCCAUGAUUAUUAUCAUUGGCAUUUCCUGAUGUUGUAUUGUUAGGCGAGCUCUGACUUAUGUGAUAAUCUUUAAAACAACUGUAACGAGACAACGCUUAGCUAGUACACUUUGGGCAACUGUAACAUGGGUAGGUACAGAAAUUUGUAAAGGUGGAGUGAGCCGCGAGGUCGCGACUCUUAGGGAACCGAGCGAUGUAAUGUGUAUAUUAUAAUGUACAUGUGUAUGUAUGACUGUAUGUGUGGCGACACCCAGUUGGUGUCGCACAACAGGAUGUUUAACAACACGUCAUGCUUUUGGCCAUGGGAAGCUGUGAUGAACUGACACUAGGAUCAGCAAAUGAUGACUUUCAUCAGCCGUCAUCAACCGGAAGCCCCACCCUUCCGGACGAACUACAAGCAAAUAAAACAGGCGAACAACGCAGAGAAGACGAGUGACGGGCUGGUGAGCAGUGCUCCGCUGCUCCACGGCCUGUGGUGUGGCUGUCUCUGAUUUCGUGCGUCUCGCUCACGCAAACUGUAAACUUUUGUGUAAUACUGUUAAUAUAGUUAAAAUACUA
This is a long non-coding RNA of Eriocheir sinensis (Chinese mitten crab), 3585 nucleotides long. RefSeq lists it as uncharacterized. The record is from RefSeq and is a predicted model, not a curated record. The transcript has 2 exons. NCBI's taxonomy places the organism in Eukaryota, Metazoa, Arthropoda, Malacostraca, Decapoda, Varunidae.